GUGCUUACUCCUUGUAACUUUUAUCAACUGAUAUGUAACGUUGGCUGAAUCAUGUUUCUUUGUGUAACAGAGGAUGGCUACAUAGGUAAGUGUGGGUUUAUUCACUUAACCCAGAUGCUUAUCUUGUUAUUAAAGCAUGUUGCUUCCAAUUUGAUUUGUCAUUUCAAUUUAGUUUUAAGGGCAAGAAGGCAGAGGUAGGGGGAAGUUUUAGCUCUGCACUUGUUGGUGAGAAUGAACAUUUUGGUGGACACUGCGAUUUGAGUUCUGAUUGUAAAAUAACCAGAUAUUUAGGACUGAAUAAUUAACUGUCUGUCUUUACUUUCAGAACAUUUGGAGAAGAUCAAGUGGCUGACUGAAGAGAAGAUCGGGCUGAGGGCACAGCUGGCUCUACAAUCAACUUCUGAUAAACGUCUGACUGAAAAUAAUGUCAAGCCGAGGGCACAGCUCACUCUACAAUCAGGAGCCAUAAGGAAGAAUCUUUCCAACCGGGAUGCCACUGAUGAGGCUGUCCAGAACCAGGUCCCCAGGUACCAGAAAGCGGCAGCUGACCGUGCAGGUGGGAGAUGUCGCGGCGGUACAAGGGACCUGCCGUGAAUAUGAAUGACAUCUCCAGGACAACUAAUAUUGCUGCUAAGCUGCAGUACUGUAGCCUAUUUCUUAUUUAUUUAUUUUUACUGCUGCUAUGUACAGUGUUAUAUACAGACGUGCUAAAAUUU
Esox lucius (northern pike) is the source of this 716-nucleotide long non-coding RNA. NCBI's taxonomy places the organism in Eukaryota, Metazoa, Chordata, Actinopteri, Esociformes, Esocidae. The record is from Ensembl.